This 1924-nucleotide ribosomal RNA is filed under the name Salmonella enterica subsp. enterica serovar Typhimurium. Its description in RNAcentral is "bacterial LSU rRNA". It matches the Rfam family "Bacterial large subunit ribosomal RNA", at positions 1120 to 2925 of the family's 2925-position model. Lineage: Bacteria; Pseudomonadati; Pseudomonadota; Gammaproteobacteria; Enterobacterales; Enterobacteriaceae. The record is from RNAcentral.
CAUUUAAAGAAAGCGUAAUAGCUCACUGGUCGAGUCGGCCUGCGCGGAAGAUGUAACGGGGCUAAACCAUGCACCGAAGCUGCGGCAGCGAACGUAUCACCCAAGACAACUUUACGGAGUUGACGAUUGACGGAGCGAAGCGACGUCAAAGCGUUCAUUAAAGUCGAGUUGGCUUAGGGAUACGUUCGUUGGGUAGGGGAGCGUUCUGUAAGCCUGUGAAGGUGUGUCGUGAGGCAUGCUGGAGGUAUCAGAAGUGCGAAUGCUGACAUAAGUAACGAUAAAGCGGGUGAAAAGCCCGCUCGCCGGAAGACCAAGGGUUCCUGUCCAACGUUAAUCGGGGCAGGGUGAGUCGACCCCUAAGGCGAGGCCGAAAGGCGUAGUCGAUGGGAAACGGGUUAAUAUUCCCGUACUUGGUGUUACUGCGAAGGGGGGACGGAGAAGGCUAUGUUGGCCGGGCGACGGUUGUCCCGGUUUAAGCGUGUAGGUGUGUGUUCCAGGUAAAUCCGGUUCACUUUAACACUGAGGCGUGACGACGAGGCACUACGGUGCUGAAGCAACAAAUGCCCUGCUUCCAGGAAAAGCCUCUAAGCAUCAGGUAACACGAAAUCGUACCCCAAACCGACACAGGUGGUCAGGUAGAGAAUACCAAGGCGCUUGAGAGAACUCGGGUGAAGGAACUAGGCAAAAUGGUGCCGUAACUUCGGGAGAAGGCACGCUGACACGUAGGUGAAGUGAUUUACUCAUGGAGCUGAAGUCAGUCGAAGAUACCAGCUGGCUGCAACUGUUUAUUAAAAACACAGCACUGUGCAAACACGAAAGUGGACGUAUACGGUGUGACGCCUGCCCGGUGCCGGAAGGUUAAUUGAUGGGGUCAGCGUAAGCGAAGCUCCUGAUCGAAGCCCCGGUAAACGGCGGCCGUAACUAUAACGGUCCUAAGGUAGCGAAAUUCCUUGUCGGGUAAGUUCCGACCUGCACGAAUGGCGUAAUGAUGGCCAGGCUGUCUCCACCCGAGACUCAGUGAAAUUGAACUCGCUGUGAAGAUGCAGUGUACCCGCGGCAAGACGGAAAGACCCCGUGAACCUUUACUAUAGCUUGACACUGAACAUUGAGCCUUGAUGUGUAGGAUAGGUGGGAGGCUUUGAAGUGUGGACGCCAGUCUGCAUGGAGCCGACCUUGAAAUACCACCCUUUAAUGUUUGAUGUUCUAACGUGGACCCGUAAUCCGGGUUGCGGACAGUGUCUGGUGGGUAGUUUGACUGGGGCGGUCUCCUCCUAAAGAGUAACGGAGGAGCACGAAGGUUGGCUAAUCCUGGUCGGACAUCAGGAGGUUAGUGCAAUGGCAUAAGCCAGCUUGACUGCGAGCGUGACGGCGCGAGCAGGUGCGAAAGCAGGUCAUAGUGAUCCGGUGGUUCUGAAUGGAAGGGCCAUCGCUCAACGGAUAAAAGGUACUCCGGGGAUAACAGGCUGAUACCGCCCAAGAGUUCAUAUCGACGGCGGUGUUUGGCACCUCGAUGUCGGCUCAUCACAUCCUGGGGCUGAAGUAGGUCCCAAGGGUAUGGCUGUUCGCCAUUUAAAGUGGUACGCGAGCUGGGUUUAGAACGUCGUGAGACAGUUCGGUCCCUAUCUGCCGUGGGCGCUGGAGAACUGAGGGGGGCUGCUCCUAGUACGAGAGGACCGGAGUGGACGCAUCACUGGUGUUCGGGUUGUCAUGCCAAUGGCACUGCCCGGUAGCUAAAUGCGGAAGAGAUAAGUGCUGAAAGCAUCUAAGCACGAAACUUGCCCCGAGAUGAGUUCUCCCUGAGACUUAGAGUCUCCUGAAGGAACGUUGAAGACGACGACGUUGAUAGGCCGGGUGUGUAAGCGCAGCGAUGCGUUGAGCUAACCGGUACUAAUGAACCGUGAGGCUUAACCUUACAACGCCGAAG